UACGUAGGGUGCGAGCGUUAGUCGGAAUUACUGGGCGUAAAGCGUGCGCAGGCGGCUUUGCAAGACAGAUGUGAAAUCCCCGGGCUCAACCUGGGAACUGCAUUUGUGACUGUAUAGCUAGAGUACGGUAGAGGGGGAUGGAAUUCCGCGUGUAGCAGUGAAAUGCGUAGAUAUGCGGAGGAACACCGAUGGCGAAGGCAAUCCCCUGGGCCUGUACUGACGCUCAUGCACGAAAGCGUGGGGAGCAAACAGG
This 253-nucleotide ribosomal RNA is filed under the name uncultured bacterium. RNAcentral's name for it is "partial 16S ribosomal RNA". It matches the Rfam family "Bacterial small subunit ribosomal RNA", at positions 524 to 776 of the family's 1533-position model. The record is from RNAcentral.